RNAcentral lists this ribosomal RNA (497 nucleotides) under uncultured bacterium. Its description in RNAcentral is "partial 16S ribosomal RNA". It matches the Rfam family "Bacterial small subunit ribosomal RNA", at positions 28 to 507 of the family's 1533-position model. The record is from RNAcentral.
GACGAACGCUGGCGGCGUGCCUAAUACAUGCAAGUUGAGCGCUGAAGGUUGGUACUUGUACCAACUGGAUGAGCAGCGAACGGGUGAGUAACGCGUGGGGAAUCUGCCUUUGAGCGGGGGACAACAUUUGGAAACGAAUGCUAAUACCGCAUAAAAACUUUAAACACAAGUUUUAAGUUUGAAAGAUGCAACUGCAUCACUCAAAGAUGAUCCCGCGUUGUAUUAGCUAGUUGGUGAGGUAAAGGCUCACCAAGGCGAUGAUACAUAGCCGACCUGAGAGGGUGAUCGGCCACAUUGGGACUGAGAAACGGCCCAAACUCCUACGGGAGGCAGCAGUAGGGAAUCUUCGGCAAUGGACGAAAGUCUGACCGAGCAAAGCCGCGGGAGUGAAGAAGGUUUUCGGAUCGUAAAACUCCGUUGGUAGAGAAGAACGUUGGUGAGAGUGGAAAGCUCAUCAAGUGACGGUAACUACACAGAAAGGGACGGCUAACUACGUG